CUGCGAUGGGGGGACAGGACUCCUCCCAGCCCUCUCUUGCCGCAGCAUCCUGGGGCUGGGGCCAGGGGAGAGGCGCCUAUCCCUGCCUGCACAGCUGCACAGCUUAGAGAGAACUUAGCUGUGUGUUUGGAGUGAGUUUCUGGGUCUCAGACUGGUUCCUACUGGGGCCAGCAUCUGCCUUACAAAAUCACCGUCAUCCUAGGCACACAUUAACCCACCCUUGGUAGGCAUGCUCAGCAGAAAGGCUGAAUGGGCAACAAAGGCUGAAUUCUCUAGGGGUGGGUCUUACUAAGUCAAAGGUGAGGCACAUUGAUGGGAUUGUGUGUGUGCGCGCGCGUGCACGCGCAUGCGCGCACUCCAGUUUCUUCUGCCUAUGCUAAAUGUGUUCCAUGGCUGCCAAAGGAAUUCAGUCUCCAAGGCCCUCAGUUCAUCACCUCUUACCAGUGCUGGAUUGGUGACAGCAUGGUCUCUGACUCUUCUCCAGUUGGUACCCUCACAGGUCAGGUUCUUGCCAGCAAAUGUCUUCACUUCACCACAUUGACUUCCUGGGGGAAAUGAGGCAGCCAGCCAUUAUGGUCCCAGGGACAGGCAAUAGCAGCAUAGAGAUAGCUUUAGUGACAAAAUUCCCAGAGGAUUUUGGGUGGUUAUAUUCUUCUUCUUGUUUUGUUUUGUUUUGUGGUAGCACCCAACAGCCCUAGUCAUAGACCAGGAUCUCCUUGUGCUAGUUGCUGUACAAAUACAGAACAAAAGGACGGUCCUUCCCCUGAAGAUCUUGCAGUGUAAGUAGUCCUGUCUCCCUCUAGUAGCUGUCUAAAUACAUGCAACAUGCUCACAGUUAAAGGAAUUCUUUUUUAAUGGAGGCCUGUAUUUUUGGGGCUGAAGGUUCAGUAUUUGGUCUCUUUUGUCUACAUGUCGCCAAGGUGUGUGAGUUUUUUUUAAUGGUUUUUGUUCUGCCUGUGUAGUUGUGUGUGUCUGUACAUAAAAAACAUACGUGUAUUUAAAAAAUUUCAGUGUGCCAUUGUGUACCUCUGGGCGUCGUGAACUGCAGUGCUGAUGAAGGAGCCAGACUGGCAGCCCUGGAGACUCAAGUCCCAUCUUUAUACACAAAACAGACACAGUAUGAGCAACAUGAAUGUCAGCUUUGUCCACACUGUCCCCCAAGGCUCUGCUUUGGAGGGGCCCUCUCUAGGAAUGAGGGGGGAAAUUCACUCCUUAGGCUCAUCACUGAGAUUCCUAACAAGGGUGCCAGCAAUGUGGGUUGUUUUGUGAUGUGGGACCCAAUUCAGCCCAGAUGAAACCAGAUGCAUUGGAGUCAAUGGGAGAUAAGCCUGCUUCCACCAGAACCAUAUGAGGCUUCUCAUCUCUUUGUAUGUUUUGUAAACUCCUUAUCUAUAAUGGACAGACAGGUGCACAGCAUUAGCUGUAAUAGAUCAAACCUCUGACCCUCUUUCUGUGUAAUACAAGCCACAGACUGAUGAUAGCAGGAGAAAGGAAGAGGUGCCAGUUCUGUUUCCAGAGGGUAAGUGUUGCCAGACCUCCCAUUCCGAAUAAAGCAGAACUACAUGGACAUCAGUAAUCCCAGCUGAGGGUUUGUUGCCAGCUCUGCGUCUGCCAGAACAGGAGGGGGCAGCACAAGCUUGUGUAACAAACAAAUGAGGUUUGGUGUCUUCACAACCUAAUGUAAACAAACCUCGGGAAACGUUUUUGUGAGUGAAUUUUUUAAAAGGUGUUGAAAAGCGAUGUGUUUAAACAUUUACUUAACCAUUUCUCUGGAGCAUCGGCAAUCUAGACAACAGCAUGGAGGUGGUGCAUGAAACCUACUAAGAACAGAAAGUAACUGUCCAGUCUGGUUUCCCUUGCAAGUUAAAACUUUAUUAAUUUCCAGCCCCACUUGAUUUAGCAGGAUUUUGCAGUGGGCUAAAGAAAUUCCAUAAGCUCCAAGUUAGGCAAGGCCUGGCCCUAUAACAUCAGACUGCAGUAUUGCCAUCCCCAAGUGUUCAAAAAUAAUGAGUCAGCCCUCUAAAAAUUAUUAUAUUGUCUUAAAAAAGAAAUUUAAAAAUAUAUUCUGCGUUCUCAUUUGCCUUCUGGUUUUUGUUUUUAUGGUGCAUGCAGAUCACGUUUUCCGGCUUUUCUCUUCAACCAUGAGGGCCAGAAACUUUUGUUGUUGUUUUUAAAUGAAAGCUGAGAGUCUUGUAUAUUCACAAGACUCCAGGAAUUGGGGCUUUAAUAAAAGCUGCAUGUAGUGCAAGAUGAUAAAAUCAUGAUUGUUUGCAAGACUGGUACUGUUGAGAAUAUGGCCUCCUAUUUAGUAUUUUUUUUAAUUUAAUGGAGUAAAUUCAGUGCUUAAGAAUGGUGCUGUCUUGAUAGCCAUGGGGCCUGAUGUCCUCUAAGAGCAUAAGAACAGCCAUACUGGGUUAGGUCAAAGGUCCAUCCACUAGCCCAGUGUCCUAGUUUCUGACAGUGGCCAAUGCCACGUGCUUCAGAGGGAAUGACCAGAACAGGCAAUCACUGAGUGGUCCGUCCCCUGUUGUCCACUCCCAGCUCCUGGCAACAGAACAGAUACAGCAUGAAGAGCAAAAGGUAAGCUUCCCCCGCCCCACCCCCAGUUCUCCUUGCUGUAUCUCAGCUGGAGAAACCACCAUCCCUGGAAGUAAAAAGGAAGUUAAUCUUAAUUAUAAUAUUUAGUUAUAAUCUAGUGCUUUUCAUCCAUAAAUCUCCAAGGUCUUUACAGUGCUCAUUUUACAGAUGGAGAACCCUAGCACAGAGAGGUAAAGUAAUUUGCCCAGCAUAAAAAAAAAUCAAUCAGUGAGUCGGGAAGAACUGGGAACAGAUGUUCUGAUUCCAGGUGUUAUCUGCUGAACCACACUACCUCUUCAAGGUCUGCUUAAAUUGGUGUCUCUGCUGAGAUUGCAAGUCAAGGAGUUGUGGGGGCAAUGCCUGCGGACAGGGCAGCAUGCGGAGACCCGCUGCCCCUUCCUCCCCAGCCGAACAUGCUGGCCGUUUCCGGGAGCGCCAUGGGGCCAGGGCAGGCAGGGAGUUUGCCUUAGCUCUGCUGCAUCACUGCUUGAGAGCGUGCCUUUUCCUGAGAUAAGCCACAAAGGAUAGACUGGAAGCAGUGAAAGCUCAAGCAGAAGCCCAGAUCCCAUGAUCACAUUGACCAGACAGGAGAAAUAUCAGGAACAUCAGGUCUGCUCUUCCCUAUUUUUUCUGGAGAACCUUUGGGAGCUCAGGGAUGUUUUAUUGUGAGUCACUAGUUGGCAAGGUAGGAGUGUGUGUUCAUGUUCUUUAACAAAGGCUUCCUUUCUCCAGAUUGCUAAUUAGUCAUUGAGGUCAAGUAGGGGUUAAGAAACAAAAUGUUUUUAACAGUUUGAUUCGCCUUCCCUUUCCCUUUUUACAGAUCAGUUGUUACUCUCUUGCCUCUUGUGACGUCACCAUUUUGCUAUUUUUUCAGCAAUCAUAGAAUCUUCCAGCCUAGACAGGACCUAUAUUUCCAAUGUGAAAAACAAGCAGAAAUCCCUUUGCAGGUGACGUUUAAACAGCUACCAUGUUUUGCGGCUGCAUUUCAGUAUUGGGUGAAGUGAUUCGUACGUAUAUAAUGGACAAACCAUGGUUAACUUUAAAGCCUGCUCUAUAUACAGUAUUUUGUAUGGGUAUCUAUGUUGGUUAGGGAUGUGAUAUUUUCUUUUAACUUAACUAGUUAUACUGGUCCAGCCCAGCUAGUUUGGGCACAGUUAUACCAGUGCAAAGGUGUCUUGCACUGCUUAGGUUAUUUGCCUUCCCAUAGAGGCAUAAAGCACCCUUACACCAAUAUAAUGGUAUCCGUACUAGGGGAGAUUGUACUGCUUUAUACUGGCAUAGAUUUAGAGUGGUACACCUUUUGUUUGCAGAAAAGCCCUAAGUGAAGAGAGGAAGAAUAGUCCAGUGAUUAGGGCACUAGCUCAGGACUAGGGAGACCAACAUUCAAUUCCCUGCUCUGCCACAGACUUCCUGUGUGAUCUGGGGCAAGUCACUGGGUAUUUAUCGUGCUGUAUGAACAAUGUGAAUAGCAAGAGGAAGAAGCGACCAUAUGACUCUUUCCCUCUAGGGCCUGCAAUUCAGCAUGGCCACUUUUUGCAAGAUCCUGCAGUAAAAGGCAACCUUUCCCAGGCUUCUGUGUUCCAAAUGCAGUGGCCCUAUCACAGCAGUCUGGUGGGCAGAUGCAAAGAAAGGCAAGGAAGGGAAUGGUCACCUUCCUUUCUUCAUGCAGUUGGCAGUCUCUAGGAGGUGCAAAACUUCUCCUUGCCCCACUGGGUGCAGCUUCCUGGGGAAAGCAGUCGCUGCCAAAAUUAAGUUGAGUAACACGCUGCUGCCCAUCCCUACUGGAGUUACCAUCAAUGCCCUUAAGGCUCCAUAUCUGAUCUGGCUCAGGUCUUCUAAGCAGCGGAAGUUCCAAGCCACCAUCUGUCAAUGUUAACGCUACUCUGCCUCCCUUUCCUUCAGCUGGUGCCUUGGUGAGUGAAUAAAAGGAAUGUUGUUUGCUUUGGACUCCAUCUCUUCUCCAGGUGGAGGAAAUGUGCACUGACAAGACAGGAAAUUCUCCUGAAUCACAAGGACCUGGAACUUGGCUACUAGCUUCCUCUGGGCCUUAUCCAGAUCUCAGCCCAGAUAUUUAACAUUUAUUAAUAGUAAUAGUUAAAUUAAUAGGGGGGUUUCUAACCAUCAGGUUAUCUCCUCAUGCUGGACUGACCAGGUCACGUUGUUGUUUAAAGUGCCUGCGGCAGCCCUGAGGAUGUUGAUAGGUUGAGGCACAACCUUCCUUUCAAACAAACUGGAAGCCAGAUGGGGAUUUUGUCUGGUAGAAGAUUCUCACAGCUGGGUUUGGACAGUCCCCUGUGAGAUAUGGAAAGAGUAACUCCCGGCUGGGACAGGCUCAGCACGGCUAAGCUCAGAAUAGGGGUAUUUCUCUUGUGGCCUGCCUGUGGGUCAGAAGGUUCUCAGAAUGAUCCUUCGACUAGUGGUGAGUGGGAUGAAUGCACAUGUGCGUGUCCAGAGACACAGACACACAGAGCUAGUCUGGCACUGGAUGGAAGGCUGGUCUAUUUGCUUAGGUCCUCAUGGUGGGUGCUACCCUCUUUUGAAAAUUCUGGCCAUGGUCAGUGGCCUCAGGUUGUCGAUGGAGGAGCCAGUUAAAAGAAAGGCUGGAGGCAUGUUGGGUUUCACUAGACUGCCGAAGUAAUGUGGUUCUUUCAUUGUAUGUCGACCCAGCAAAGAAAAACCCACAGUUGGCCCAUGCUAACCAGCUCGGGCUGUGGGACUGUUUCAUUGCGGUGUAGACUUCCAGGCUUGGCCAGGAGCCUGGGUUCUAGAACGCUGCAGGAUGGGAAGGUCCCAGACUCCGAGUUGACUGGGAUGGGCCAGCCAAGGUUUUUUCUGUGCUGUGUAGGCAUAUCCUAAUACGGCUUCCCUCAUUGCCUUUUGGAAGGGAGGAAGGAGUCUUUAGGGAGGAUUCCCCCAGCCAGAAUCACUAUCUUGCUGCACUGGAAUUGGCAACCUGGUAGUAAAAGCCUUUCUAGCCCCAUCCAAUCUCCUGAGCCAUCCCAUUCUCCUCAUUUUCAAUGUCUCAGAAAUUAGUGCAUUAGUUUAAUGCUUAAAACCAGGUAUGUGUGUGUGUGAAAGAGAGAGAUUGGGGUGGGGAGAAGGACAGAUAUUGACCACUGCAGGAGGGGCCCGGGCCAUUGUCGGAGACAGGCUAUCCAAUAAGUUGGGGCAUUAGUCUGACCCCAUGUGGCAAUUCCUGCACUGCAGAUGGGUGUUGUGGAAUUUGUAUGGAGUACCUUGGUGACGUCUCAGAGCCAGCCCAGAUAUAUAUUCUGCCCAUCUCUUCUUGGGGAACGAAGGCCCCGAUCCCACAAAGGGCUGAGCUCCUCCUGCAAGAUACUGAAGCACCGUCCACUUCCAUUGCCCCAGCUGGAGUUGAGAGUGCACAGCACCUUGCAGUAUUGAGCCCUCACCGACAUCUAGGCAUUAAUCCAGGGUGCUUGGGAGAAGGUGUGUUUUGGCUAGCUGAGUGGUGGAGGGAGCGUUGGGAAAGAGCUAGAAUUGGCUGCCCAGCUUAUUGGAAGAUUAGAACCAUAAAAUGAAUUGUGUCCUGCCUAAGAAAAGAAGAGAGUGAGUAUUGGGGCUUCCCCAGAAGAUCUGACUAUCUUCACCUGGGGAAGAUUUAAAUAGGGUGUAGGCAUCAGGCUGGCCCUCUGUUGGAAAGACUUUCCAUAGAAACAGGGGCCAGUAUUCUACUUCGCUUAAUAACAGUUUAUUCUGAAGUGUGUUCUCUGUAUACAUUUGUUACUCUCUACGGUGCCACAAGUACUGCUUUUCUUUUUGCGAAUACAGACUAACACGGCUGCUACUCUGAAAUCUGUAUACAGAGUAACUUUCUUUUGGCAACAGAGCAUGUAUGGAGCUUCUCCUGUUUCUUUUCCUCUACUAUAGUCAUUCACACUUAGCCCAUUGUUCUGGGGAUUUUCCCCUUCCCUUUCCCCAAGUGUUAGAACUAAGAAUAAGCUUGUCUAGACAUUUUCCUCACUUUAGGAUGGGUGUUUGUAAUUAGAUGGAACAAUAACCAUACCUGGGAACAACCCUAACGUGACCACCCUGCUUAUGUACUACUGUUACCUCCUUGUAGAAGAGUCAAAGACUUUACCCGUAACCUGAGCAACCUAAACUAUAAAGAAAGAUCCACCAAUUCCCUUCAUGAGGUGGCUGGAACAUGGGCUUCCUUCCUUCCUUUAGGCUCCGUGAUAUGGAGUGGUGAAUCACUGCUUUGCAGAGGAGGCUGGGACUGGCAGGUCAGAGGCUUCGUUUCUCAUGAUAUGUACGAAGCUCUAUUUUGUUGAUUUCAGAGUGCAUGGGAGAGCAGCUGUGGCUGCCCCCAGAGACUGCGCUUGACACAUAACAAGGCUUCCUUUAUACUGACAUCUUAGCUGACCUUAAUUCCACUAUUAACUUGUCCUGUCAAGUUAGUAGCCCCAGGGCAUGCCGUGACUUCCCUGUGCCUCACUGACUGGGAGCUUUGCCAGGGAUUGAAUCGCCAGCAGCACAGCCUGCAGCACUUGAAUGUUCCAUAGAGGUCAAGUCUUCUCUCUGGAUAUUGAGAUCCUGAUUAGCUGGAUCCUGAUCAGCUGGUGAGAUCCACUAAGGUCCAGCCCAAGUGUGAUAAGUCUUAGGGCUAUAACAAUGACAUGGUGUAUGCUCAUGAGUUGGUGGCUAGCUUGCUAAGAUUAGGGGAGUGUAAUCAGUGGGACAACGUGACACCGGUGUGCAGUUGCACAUCUGUAUCACCACAGCCUCACUCAUAUAGUUGGUGGGUCCUCUACCACCAGCCAACUUUGGGGCUUUAUCUGUCCUGCAGAUGAGCAUGCAGGGAUGUGGGACAGGCCUGUACAAACAGGAAUUGUUCUUGACAAUUGCUACUGGUGCUUUCAGCACUUGACUCACUGUGUCUGUAUAUCCAGCAUCAGAAUUGGUCUAAAAUCAAUAAGUUAAAAUAAUUCAAUAAAGACAAGUGCAAAGUACUACACUUGGGAAGGAAAAACUUACUGCACUGUCUGCUGCCAGCAAGAUGUAUAAAGAUAGCUGAAGUGGCUCAAAACAAG
Dermochelys coriacea (leatherback sea turtle) is the source of this 7631-nucleotide long non-coding RNA. RefSeq lists it as uncharacterized. The record is from RefSeq and is a predicted model, not a curated record. The transcript has 3 exons. Lineage: Eukaryota; Metazoa; Chordata; Testudines; Dermochelyidae.